This 305-nucleotide ribosomal RNA is filed under the name uncultured bacterium. RNAcentral describes it as "bacterial SSU rRNA". It matches the Rfam family "Bacterial small subunit ribosomal RNA", at positions 335 to 656 of the family's 1533-position model. The record is from RNAcentral.
GUCCCUACGGGACGCAGCAGUGGGGGAUAUUGCACAAUGGGGGGAACCCUGAUGCAGCGACGCCGCGUGGGUGAAGGAGCGUUUCGGCGCGUAAAGCCCUAUCGGCAGGGAAGAAGGAGGACGGUACCUGACUAAGAAGCCCCGGCUAACUACGUGCCAGCAGCCGCGGUAAUACGUAGGGGGCAAGCGUUAUCCGGAUUUACUGGGUGUAAAGGGAGCGUAGACGGCGCGGCAAGUCUGAAGUGAAAGGCAGGGGCUUAACCCCUGAACUGCUUUGGAAACUGCCAUGCUAGAGUGCUGGAGAG